RNAcentral lists this ribosomal RNA (759 nucleotides) under Kytococcus aerolatus. RNAcentral's name for it is "bacterial SSU rRNA". It matches the Rfam family "Bacterial small subunit ribosomal RNA", at positions 57 to 825 of the family's 1533-position model. Lineage: Bacteria; Bacillati; Actinomycetota; Actinomycetes; Micrococcales; Kytococcaceae. The record is from RNAcentral.
GCAGUCGAACGGUGAAGCAGGUGCUUGCACUUGUGGAUCAGUGGCGAACGGGUGAGUAACACGUGAGUAACCUGCCCAUCACUCUGGGAUAAGCGCUGGAAACGGCGUCUAAUACUGGAUACGACCGGUCCUCGCAUGGGGUGCUGGUGGAAAGAUUUAUUGGUGGUGGAUGGACUCGCGGCCUAUCAGCUUGUUGGUGGGGUAAUGGCCUACCAAGGCGACGACGGGUAGCCGGCCUGAGAGGGCGACCGGCCACACUGGGACUGAGACACGGCCCAGACUCCUACGGGAGGCAGCAGUGGGGAAUAUUGCACAAUGGGCGAAAGCCUGAUGCAGCGACGCCGCGUGAGGGAUGACGGCCUUCGGGUUGUAAACCUCUUUCAGCAGGGAAGAAGCUUUUGUGACGGUACCUGCAGAAGAAGCACCGGCUAACUACGUGCCAGCAGCCGCGGUAAUACGUAGGGUGCGAGCGUUGUCCGGAAUUAUUGGGCGUAAAGAGCUUGUAGGCGGUUUGUCGCGUCUGCUGUGAAAAUCUAGGGCUUAACCCUGGACGUGCAGUGGGUACGGGCAGACUAGAGUGUGGUAGGGGAGACUGGAAUUCCUGGUGUAGCGGUGGAAUGCGCAGAUAUCAGGAGGAACACCGAUGGCGAAGGCAGGUCUCUGGGCCAUUACUGACGCUGAGAAGCGAAAGCAUGGGGAGCGAACAGGAUUAGAUACCCUGGGUAGUCCAUGCCGUAAACGUUGGGGCGCUANGGCGUG